AAGUUUGACAUUCUUCUUCGUUUUGCCUUUUGGUUCUUUCAUGUUUUGUUCACCAUUUUAUUAAUCACACGAGCCGGAGCCGCAUCAGAAACAAACAAAAAUGGACGCCAUUGAUUCCGUCUUCGAUCCACUCCGGGAGUUCGCCAAGGACAGCGUACGUCUCGUCAAGCGCUGUCACAAACCCGAUCGCAAAGAGUUCACAAAGGUCGCGGUUCGUACAGCGAUUGGCUUCGUCGUCAUGGGAUUCGUUGGUUUCUUCGUCAAGCUCAUCUUUAUCCCCAUCAAUAACAUCAUCGUCGGAUCUGGCUAGACAGCUGAGGCCACAAAAGGAGCAGGCCGGACAAUAUAGAAGAAUGGAACUUGAUCAACUAUUUCAAAUCCUUACCAAUGUUAUUAUUAAUUUAAAAAGCUUAAUUUAUUUUCUAGAGAAGUAUAAAACUCCAUGAAUGGCUGUAACGAAUUGCUAGGAUUAUGUCUUACUCCUGAUUGAUCCAGUGUCCUUGUUCAUGGUCACUGGUUAUUUUAGAGUAUAGUGACUAAGUUUUUGCUUUAUCAUAUGAAAGUUGGCUUCAUCAUUGGUAUGAAAACUGUAGUUUUCCCCUCUCCUUCAUCUCGUCAGGUGUCCGCAAAUUGAACUAAUUAACUUUGAAAUGGCCAAGGAAGCCAAGAUAUUUUCAGUAAGGUGCGGUCGUGCACUCGAAUGCACAUAACAUUUUUGUAUAAUAGAUGUUUCAUGUAGCAUAUCAUUAUUUUUUGGGUCAAAUUUUGACUUUUGGACUAAACAGAGGUGGGACUCGUCCUUUGAACAAUCUCCUGAAUCUCUUCUGAUGACAGGAUUGAUGCUGAACUGUCAAAUUCCACACUCUCCAGCUGCUGGUGUAACUGGAGACAAACGAGAAACAGAAACAUUAAGUCACCAAUAUGGGGUAUAUAAUUAACACAACCACCUAAUCAGAUUGCAAUUUGUUUCCCUCAAAAUAGUUAUCUUGUUGAAAGAGAAAACUGCAAACCUUCUCGAGAAUGGCGGAUUGAUCAUAAGAGUGUAGCUUGCGCAUAUGUUGCAGCAUCUCCAGUUGCUGUAUGAAGAGUACAUUCAGUUUCCAACCACUAUUCGUAUUCAAAAUAUUUGCUUUCAUGUAGUUUGACACGGCCAAGGAAAUAAAGAGUUCAGUAAAAAGAACAAGAAGAGUUCAGAAUAAAUCAAAAGGAAGAAGACAAAUGCACACAUACAAAUACGCUGGUAAAAAUGAGCUCUCUCUAUGCUAUCAUCAGAUUAUCAAUUCAUAUGAUGAGUUGAAUGACAGUUUUCAA
Cucumis sativus (cucumber) is the source of this 1311-nucleotide RNA transcript. It is a transcript of the gene named protein transport protein Sec61 subunit gamma, with no coding region annotated. The record is from RefSeq and is a predicted model, not a curated record. NCBI's taxonomy places the organism in Eukaryota, Viridiplantae, Streptophyta, Magnoliopsida, Cucurbitales, Cucurbitaceae. The transcript has 4 exons.